UACGUAGGUGGCAAGCGUUGUCCGGAUUUACUGGGCGUAAAGAGCGCGCAGGCGGUCGGAUAAGUCGAAUGUGAAAGCCCCCGGCUCAACUGGGGAGGGUCAUUCGAUACUGUUCGACUCGAAGGCAGGAGAGGGAAGUGGAAUUCCCGGUGUAGUGGUGAAAUGCGUAGAUAUCGGGAGGAACACCAGUGGCGAAGGCGGGUCUCUGGGCCGUAACUGACGCUGAGGAGCGAAAGCAUGGGGAGCGAACAGG
RNAcentral lists this ribosomal RNA (253 nucleotides) under uncultured bacterium. RNAcentral's name for it is "partial 16S ribosomal RNA". It matches the Rfam family "Bacterial small subunit ribosomal RNA", at positions 524 to 776 of the family's 1533-position model. The record is from RNAcentral.